GUGGCGUGGGGCCGACUCUGGGCCAUGGGGAAGAGGCCCGGCCCAUCGGGCUCUGCGUUCACGGCCUCGCUUGGCCCCACGUACAG
RNAcentral lists this microRNA precursor (86 nucleotides) under Petromyzon marinus (sea lamprey). Its description in RNAcentral is "microRNA pma-mir-4607 precursor". The record is from miRBase by way of RNAcentral. Lineage: Eukaryota; Metazoa; Chordata; Hyperoartia; Petromyzontiformes; Petromyzontidae.